Molecule: transfer RNA, 76 nt
Filed under: Aeromicrobium camelliae
Lineage: Bacteria; Bacillati; Actinomycetota; Actinomycetes; Propionibacteriales; Nocardioidaceae
Also listed under: 4 other names
Description: tRNA-Thr
Rfam family: tRNA
About the family: Transfer RNA (tRNA) molecules are approximately 80 nucleotides in length. Their secondary structure includes four short double-helical elements and three loops (D, anti-codon, and T loops).
Source: RNAcentral
GCCCCUGUAGCUCAGUUGGUAGAGCGCCUUACUUGUAAUAAGGAUGUCGCGGGUUCGAAUCCUGUCGGGGGCUCCA